Molecule: ribosomal RNA, 429 nt
Filed under: Bacteroidota bacterium
Lineage: Bacteria; Pseudomonadati; Bacteroidota
Description: Bacteroidetes bacterium partial 16S ribosomal RNA
Rfam family: Bacterial small subunit ribosomal RNA
Source: RNAcentral
UAGGGAAUCUUCCGCAAUGGACGCAAGUCUGACGGAGCAACGCCGCGUGAGUGAAGAAGGAUUUCGGUUCGUAAAACUCUGUUGUUAGAGAAGAACAGCGCAUAGAGUAACUGUUAUGCGUGUGACGGUAUCUAACCAGAAAGCCACGGCUAACUACGUGCCAGCAGCCGCGGUAAUACGUAGGUGGCAAGCGUUGUCCGGAUUUAUUGGGCGUAAAGCGAGCGCAGGCGGUCAAUUAAGUCUGAUGUGAAAGCCCCCGGCUCAACCGGGGAGGGUCAUUGGAAACUGGUUGACUUGAGUGCAGAAGAGGAGAGUGGAAUUCCAUGUGUAGCGGUGAAAUGCGUAGAUAUAUGGAGGAACACCAGUGGCGAAGGCGACUCUCUGGUCUGUAACUGACGCUGAGGCUCGAAAGCGUGGGGAGCAAACAGG